UCUCCGUUGGUGAACCAGCGGAGGGAUCAUUACAGAGUUUUUAACUCCCAAACCCAUGUGAACUUACCAUUGUUGCCUCGGCGGAGCCUACCCUGUAGCUACCCUGUAGGGUGGUUACCCUGUAGCGCCCCGCCGGUGGAUUUUCAAACUCUUGUUAUUUUUAGUAAUCUGAGCGUCUUAUUUUAAAUAAGUCAGAACUUUCAACACCGGAUCUCUUGUUUCUGGUAUCGAUGAAGACCGCAGC
Molecule: unclassified non-coding RNA, 244 nt
Filed under: uncultured fungus
Lineage: Eukaryota; Fungi
Description: sequence contains ITS1, 5.8S rRNA gene
Source: RNAcentral